GACGAACGCUGGCGGCGUGCCUAAUACAUGCAAGUCGAGCGAAUGACGAGAAGCUUGCUUCUCUGAUUUAGCGGCGGACGGGUGAGUAACACGUGGGCAACCUGCCCUACAGAUCGGGAUAACUCAGGGAAACCUGGGCUAAUACCGGAUAAUCCUUCGAAUCACAUGUUUUGAAGUUGAAAGGCGCUUCGGCGUCACUGUAGGAUGGGCCCGCGGUGCAUUAGCUAGUUGGUGGGGUAACGGCCUACCAAGGCAACGAUGCAUAGCCGACCUGAGAGGGUGAUCGGCCAAAUUGGGACUGAGACACGGCCCAAACUCCUACGGGAGGCAGCAGUAGGGGAUCUUCCACAAUGGACGAAAGUCUGAUGGAGCAACGCCGCGUGAGUGAUGAAGGUUUUCGGAUCGUAAAACUCUGUUGUAAGGGAAGAACAAGUACGUUAGGAAAUGAACGUACCUUGACGGUACCUUAUUAGAAAGCCACGGCUAACUACGUGCCAGCCGCCGCCGUAA
Molecule: ribosomal RNA, 510 nt
Filed under: uncultured bacterium
Lineage: Bacteria
Description: partial 16S ribosomal RNA
Rfam family: Bacterial small subunit ribosomal RNA
Source: RNAcentral